AUACGUAGGUGACAAGCGUUAUCCGGAUUUACUGGGCGUAAAGGGCGUGUAGGCGGUCUUGCAAGUCAGAAGUGAAAUUCCUGAGCUCAACUCGGGCGCUGCUUCUGAAACUGCAGGACUUGAGUGCUGGAGGGGAUAGCGGAAUUCCUAGUGGAGCGGUAAAAUGCGCAGAUAUUAGGAAGAACACCGGUGGCGAAGGCGGCUAUCUGGACAGUAACUGACGCUGAGGCGCGAAAGCGGGGGGAGCAAACAGGAUUAGAUACCCUGGUAGUCCACGCCGUAAACGAUAAAUACUAGGUGUAGGGGGUAUCGACUCCCUCUGUGCCGCAGUUAACACAAUAAGUAUUCCGCCUGGGGAGUACGGCCGCAAGGUUGAAACUCAAAGGAAUUGACGGGG
This 397-nucleotide ribosomal RNA is filed under the name uncultured bacterium. RNAcentral's name for it is "partial 16S ribosomal RNA". It matches the Rfam family "Bacterial small subunit ribosomal RNA", at positions 523 to 918 of the family's 1533-position model. The record is from RNAcentral.